RNAcentral lists this ribosomal RNA (465 nucleotides) under Capnocytophaga granulosa. RNAcentral describes it as "bacterial SSU rRNA". It matches the Rfam family "Bacterial small subunit ribosomal RNA", at positions 28 to 496 of the family's 1533-position model. The record is from RNAcentral. Lineage: Bacteria; Pseudomonadati; Bacteroidota; Flavobacteriia; Flavobacteriales; Flavobacteriaceae.
GAUGAACGCUAGCGGCAGGCCUAACACAUGCAAGUCGAGGGAGAAGCCCUUCGGGGCAGAAACCGGCGCACGGGUGCGUAACGCGUAUGCAACCUACCUUUCACAGGGGGAUAGCCCGAAGAAAUUUGGAUUAAUACCCCAUAAUAUUAUUGGAUGGCAUCAUUUGAUAAUUAAAAUUACGAUGGUGAAAGAUGGGCAUGCGUCCUAUUAGCUAGUUGGAGUGGUAACGGCACCCCAAGGCUACGAUAGGUAGGGGUCCUGAGAGGGAGAUCCCCCACACUGGUACUGAGACAGGGACCAGACUCCUACGGGAGGCAGCAGUGAGGAAUAUUGGUCAAUGGUCGGAAGACUGAACCAGCCAUGCCGCGUGCAGGAAGAAUGCCUUAUGGGUUGUAAACUGCUUUUAUAUGGGAAGAAUAAGGAGUACGUGUACUUUGAUGACGGUACCAUAUGAAUAAAGCUUGG